CCUACGGGUGGCAGCAGUGGGGAAUAUUGGACGAUGGGGGGAACCCUGAUCCAGCCAUGCCGCGUGUGUGAAGAAGGCCCUCGGGUUGUAAAGCACUUUCAGUGAGGAAGAACGCCUGGUGGUUAAUACCCAUCAGGAAAGACAUCACUCACAGAAGAAGCACCGGCUAACUCCGUGCCAGCAGCCGCGGUAAUACGGAGGGUGCGAGCGUUAAUCGGAAUUACUGGGCGUAAAGCGCGCGUAGGUGGCUUGAUAAGCCGGUUGUGAAAGCCCCGGGCUCAACCUGGGAACGGCAUCCGGAACUGUCAAGCUAGAGUGCAGGAGAGGAAGGUAGAAUUCCCGGUGUAGCGGUGAAAUGCGUAGAGAUCGGGAGGAAUACCAGUGGCGAAGGCGGCCUUCUGGACUGACACUGACACUGAGGUGCGAAAGCGUGGGUAGCAAACAGGAUUAGAUACCCCGGUAGUC
RNAcentral lists this ribosomal RNA (465 nucleotides) under Vreelandella stevensii. Its description in RNAcentral is "partial 16S ribosomal RNA". It matches the Rfam family "Bacterial small subunit ribosomal RNA", at positions 338 to 795 of the family's 1533-position model. Lineage: Bacteria; Pseudomonadati; Pseudomonadota; Gammaproteobacteria; Oceanospirillales; Halomonadaceae. The record is from RNAcentral.